AAAGAAACUAACAAGGAUUCCCUUAGUAACUGCGAGUGAAGAGGGAAGAGCUCAAAUUUAAAAUCUGGCAGUGUUUUGCUGUCCGAGUUGUAAUCUAGAGAAGUGCUGCCCGUGCUGGACCAUGUACAAGUCUCCUGGAAUGGAGCGUCACAGAGGGUGAGAAUCCCGUCUUUGACAUGGACUACCAGUGCAUUUGUGGUGUGCUCUCAAAGAGUCGAGUUGUUUGGGAAUGCAGCUCUAAAUGGGUGGUAAACUCCAUCUAAAGCUAAAUAUUGGCGAGAGACCGAUAGCGAACAAGUACCGUGAGGGAAAGAUGAAAAGAACUUUGGAAAGAGAGUUAAACAGUAUGUGAAAUUGUUGAAAGGGAAACGCUUAAAGUCAGUCGUGUCGGCCAGGGAUCAACUCAGCUUUCUCUGCUGGGUGUACUUCCUGAUCUGAUGGGCCAACAUCAGUUUUGACUGCUGGAGAAGGACAGAGGGAAUGUGGCACCUUUGGGUGUGUUAUAGCUCUCUGUCAGAUGCAGUGGUUGGGACUGAGGAUUGCAGCAUGCCGCAAGGCCGGGUCGUUUCGACCACGUUCAUGCUGAGGAUGUUGGCAUAAUGGCUUUAAUCGACCCGUCUUGA
Molecule: ribosomal RNA, 623 nt
Filed under: Amanita muscaria (fly agaric)
Lineage: Eukaryota; Fungi; Basidiomycota; Agaricomycetes; Agaricales; Amanitaceae
Description: LSU rRNA
Rfam family: Eukaryotic large subunit ribosomal RNA
Source: RNAcentral